This 164-nucleotide ribosomal RNA is filed under the name Pinanga aff. malaiana Joko Witono 355. RNAcentral describes it as "5.8S rRNA". It matches the Rfam family "5.8S ribosomal RNA". From Rfam's summary of the family: 5.8S ribosomal RNA (5.8S rRNA) is a component of the large subunit of the eukaryotic ribosome. It is transcribed by RNA polymerase I as part of the 45S precursor that also contains 18S and 28S rRNA. Functionally, it is thought that 5.8S rRNA may be involved in ribosome translocation. The record is from RNAcentral. Lineage: Eukaryota; Viridiplantae; Streptophyta; Magnoliopsida; Arecales; Arecaceae.
ACGAUGACUCUCGGCAACGGAUAUCUUGGCUCUCGCAUCGAUGAAGAAUGUAGCGAAAUGCGAUGCCUGGUGUGAAUUGCAGAAUCCCGUGAACCAUCGAGUCUUUGAACGCAAGUUGCGCCCGAGGCCACCCGACCGAGGGCACGCCUGCCUGGGCGUCACGC